GGCUCGCGGUCGAGUGGGCGGGCCCGGGCGCAGCGAGCCCCCGCCGGGAGGCCGGGGGAAGGAGGGGAAGAUGGCGGAGUGAGGGGCGGAGGAGGCGGAGGGGCCGGGCCGGCCGCGGCCCCGCGGCCUCGGCCGCGCUCAGCUCACUGAAGAGGAUGUGGAAUGAUCAAAAGUAAUGCUCUCCAGGUCUGUUUUUCCACAUCUUCAUAAGAAUAAGACUUUCCCAAUAGUCUGAGUGUCGAUGGUCAACCCAAUGAUCAGCUGAAAUAUUCGAGUGACUCAAGAGAUAUCAAUAGUGACAUGUACUAUAUUUCCAUUUUCAUGGUCUAAUCACUGCUUCUAACAUAGGAGCUGAAAAUUGUCACUGGAAGUCUAU
This 376-nucleotide long non-coding RNA is filed under the name Lonchura striata (white-rumped munia). RNAcentral describes it as "domestica (Bengalese finch) lncRNA (ENSLSDG00000016957.1)". The record is from RNAcentral. Lineage: Eukaryota; Metazoa; Chordata; Aves; Passeriformes; Estrildidae.